CAAAGUCUGAACGGAGAUACAGGGCUCUCUUUCUCUCUGUCUCUUCUCUCUCCUUCCUGUCUAUUGGACAAAUACUUGCAAUCAAUGAAAAAUGCCGUCGUCCGACAUCGUAACUGCUUCUAAAGUUCCGUUUGCGGCCACUUGUCUUCCCAAUGGCAAGAAGCAUUUGCCGCCAAAAUCCUAUGGGAAUAUGGUCACCCGCAAAAUGGCUGCGCAAACUGUCUCCAGAAACCUCAAAUUCGUGAGGAAUUCGGCUUCGGGGGAUAUGGAGACAAGUUCAGUUGGGCUUGAUGUGUCAAUUCCUAGCGAUUAUUCUGAGCUCAUUGAACAAGCCCGAAAUGCAACUGCAUUGGCUGUGAAGGAUAACAAGCAGUUGAUGUCUCUUCUUCUGCAGGAGAUUGAGUUCCCUACUUCCGGACUUGAAUCCGUACCAGGGGAUGGUGAAGGGGGAAUAGAAAUGACAGAAAGUAUGCAGUUAAUUCGAGAAUUUUGCAACCGUUUAAUAGUUCCAGAGAAAGCCAGACAGACCAGAAUAUUUUUUCCUGAGGCCAACGAAGUUAAAUUUGCAAGAGAAUCAAUAUUUGAGGGUGCUUCCUUUAAGUUGGACUAUCUGACAAAGCCAUCAUUCUUUGAGGACUUUGGUUUUGUGGAGAAAGUGAAAAUGACAGACCGUGUGAAGGCAGAAGAUGAACUCUUCCUUGCUGCCUAUCCAUAUUUUAAUGUCACUGAAAUGCUUGUGGUCGAAGAACUUUACAGAGAAGCUGUUCAGAACACUUCAAGGAAACUGAUUAUUUUCAAUGGGGAGCUUGAUCGUAUAAGAUCUGGAUAUUAUCCGCCCUUCUUCUACCCAAAGCUCGCUGCACUUUCCAAGAGCCUAUUUCCAUUUAUGGAGACUGUGUACUACAUUCACAACUUUAAGGGACGCUACGGAGGGACCCUUUUCAGGAGCUACCCAGGCCCAUGGAAAGUCUUCAGAAAAGUAAGGAACGGAUACGUCUGUUUGCAUCAGCAGGAAGCAAUGCCGUCGCUCAAGGAAGUUGCUUUAGAUAUUCUUCCAUCGGCCUGAGCGAGCGUAUAGGAUUAUACAGUACGAUUCUAAGAUGUUAUGAAGCCUUCUCAAAAUGCAAUAUUAACAAGUUAUGGAGGUAAUCUAGUAGCUUAAGGAAGAAGAAACCCAAAGGAUGCAAAUUGAAAUUCCAACUGUAGCCUUCUUCACCUCUGCUGCUUGCUCUGCCGCGAUGGAGUGUGCCAUGUGGAAGGCUCGGCCCUUUGAUAUCAAGUCCACCCGGUCAUGGUGGUGGCCCACCAACAGGCCGGGGUAGAUUUUCUGUGCCAUCAGGCCAAGGUAUAGGUGGUUUUCCUCCAUUUGGCCUAGCCGCAAGUGUGCUUUUGCCGUGCCAAGAUGUCGGUGAUUUUCCUCGCGUUUCUAAGGUGUGGGACUAUUCAUGCAGACGAAGAUCUAAGGGCAAAGAAGGGACGAGCUCACAAGUAGAAACGGAUUGUGUGAACCAAUCUAACUAAAAAUUUUAAAUUUUUUGUAUUAAGUAUCUUUUGUUGCAUA
RNA transcript from Pyrus x bretschneideri (Chinese white pear), 1561 nucleotides. It is a transcript of the gene named protein LPA3, with no coding region annotated. The transcript has 10 exons. Lineage: Eukaryota; Viridiplantae; Streptophyta; Magnoliopsida; Rosales; Rosaceae. The record is from RefSeq and is a predicted model, not a curated record.